RNAcentral lists this ribosomal RNA (254 nucleotides) under uncultured bacterium. Its description in RNAcentral is "partial 16S ribosomal RNA". It matches the Rfam family "Bacterial small subunit ribosomal RNA", at positions 524 to 776 of the family's 1533-position model. The record is from RNAcentral.
UACGUAGGGAGCAAGCGUUAUCCGGAAUGACUGGGCGUAAAGGGUGCGUAGGCGGUGUAGCAAGUUAGAAGUGAAAUACCUAGAGCUUAACUCAGGUGCUGCUUCUAAAACUGCUAUACUUGAGUGCAGUAGAGGAAAGUGGAAUUCCUAGUGUAGCGGUGGAAUGCGUAGAUAUUAGGAGGAACAUCAGUGGCGAAGGCGACUUUCUGGACUGUAACUGACACUGAGGCUCGAAAGCGUGGGGAGCAAACAGG